CAACAGGUAGUGGGCAUCACGGUCGUCAACAGGUAGUGGGCAUCACGGUCGUCAACAGGUAGUGGGCAUCACGGUCGUCAACAGGUAGUGGGCAUCACGGUCGUCAACAGGCAGUGGGCAUCACGGUCGUCAACACGUACAUCCUGUAGAGAUGUUAUUAGAAAUUCGUUUGAGUAACGCAGUGUGGCAUUUGUUUCUAUAUUCAGUUA
Molecule: non-coding RNA, 209 nt
Organism: Cherax quadricarinatus
Lineage: Eukaryota; Metazoa; Arthropoda; Malacostraca; Decapoda; Parastacidae
Source: RefSeq, a predicted model, not a curated record